GGGCUUGUGGUUUAGUGGUAUAAUACUCCCUUAGCACCGUUAGAUGCAAUUCUACAGACGCCUGGGAGUGGUCCGGGGUUCGAUUCCCCGCGAGUCCA
Molecule: non-coding RNA, 98 nt
Organism: Annulohypoxylon maeteangense
Lineage: Eukaryota; Fungi; Ascomycota; Sordariomycetes; Xylariales; Hypoxylaceae
Source: the annotation of a RefSeq genome assembly